RNAcentral lists this ribosomal RNA (468 nucleotides) under uncultured bacterium. RNAcentral's name for it is "partial 16S ribosomal RNA". It matches the Rfam family "Bacterial small subunit ribosomal RNA", at positions 28 to 507 of the family's 1533-position model. The record is from RNAcentral.
GACGAACGCUGGCGGCGUGCUUAACACAUGCAAGUCGAACGGAAAGGCCCUGCUUUUGUGGGGUGCUCGAGUGGCGAACGGGUGAGUAACACGUGAGUAACCUGCCCUUGACUUUAGGAUAACUUCAGGAAACUGGGGCUAAUACCGGAUAGGAGCUCCUGCUGCAUGGUGGGGGUUGGAAAGUUUCGGCGGUUGGGGAUGGACUCGCGGCUUAGCAGCUUGUUGGUGGGGUAGUGGCUUACCAAGGCUUUGACGGGUAGCCGGCCUGAGAGGGUGAACGGCCACAUUGGGACUGAGAUACGGCCCAGACUCCUACGGGAGGCAGCAGUGGGGAAUAUUGCACAAUGGGCGGAAGCCUGAUGCAGCAACGCCGCGUGCGGGAUGACGGCCUUCAGGUUGUAAACCGCUUUCGCCUGUGACGAAGCGUGAGUGACGGUAAUGGGUAAAGAAGCACCGGCUAACUACGUG